Gasterosteus aculeatus aculeatus (three-spined stickleback) is the source of this 5466-nucleotide long non-coding RNA. Lineage: Eukaryota; Metazoa; Chordata; Actinopteri; Perciformes; Gasterosteidae. The record is from Ensembl.
UUGUUGUGCAGCCGGAGCCUUCUGGUCCCAACGAGCAUCCGGUCUCGUCCCCCCUCACCUCUGGACUCUGGAGUGAAAACCAAAGACCCGCCUCCCACGACAGGAAGCCGUCGGGUAAAAAAUGUCCUGCUUAUUUACAACACGGAAGCUCGGUGACCACCAGGCAGAAACCGGGACACGUUUCUGUGAUCAAAUCUUCCCGGCGGGUGACAAUGAGUGGAAGCCCUCCAGCGAGCCGACCCGGCACGCUCGCCCCGUUUGCCAAAGAGCCAUUGUCUUAUUGUUGCUUUACACAAUGUGACUUGUUAAACCUGCAAAUGAACUCGCAUUGUAACAACGGCAUCUGGUCCCGGUUCACUUUCUUCGGGAUCGCCUCCGUAAUGGGGACGAAUGAGCCCGUCGCCGAGGAGCUUGAGGUGUGUCUGCAGAGGAGGUUCAAUCGGAUCUUUUUACAUUCCGGUUGUCGCGUCACACUUUGCAAUCGACGCGUCUCCCGUCACGUUUUGCACUGGGCAGAAAGCGCCGCUCGCAUCUGGAAAAGGACGGACGGACGGGAGGAUCAACCCGCCGCCGCCCAUUUGAGAAGAAGCGAGAUGAUCUCGGCUGCAGCGCAGUCGCCACGUCGGUGUUCACGCCACCUCUCCAGGUCAGACAGCGCAGAGCGGAUCCCGUCACGUCUCACGCAGCUGUCUGCGUAAACUCCGCCGCCGCCGAGCCCCUUCAGCGGACACAGAAGCAGAUGAGGACCGAAGUGGAGGACAGCCGGAGGACGGCCGGUCCUCCUUCCUGCGCCCAGAACCAUCGAGCGAGCUCCUCCGAGGUGUAGUUAGCUCAUCCAGCCGUGUGCAUGAUGGAUGAUCCCAGGGACGCGCCGGUUCUGACCCAGCUUGGAAUCAGCAGCAGUGUCUCCCCCGCGUUCAAAUCAGAUCUUUAAAUAAACCACAGCCACGUAAACGCAGCGAGCGUCAUUCACAUAAAAAAACAGUCGUCCUUUGCUAAAAAGACAAGCGGCUUCAGACCGUUUUCACUCCUUCUGAACACAGAGACGUUGGACAAUUCUUAUACUAAGACUACGACGAUAACGCCUCGAGGGAGGACGUCAGGUUGCGUGCUGUAAAGACAUUUGGGUCAAACAAGGACACGCGUGUUUGUGGCGUGUGGAAGCUUCAUCUCGCCACCUUGAAGGUGUUUGAUGCAGGAACCCUGGGGAGUUAGAAGGUACGAGCGCAGCACAGUGUUUGGUGAUGUCGUUGCGGCGCAUCCCGCAAAACCCGCGGCAUUGUUGUUGACAGUCGGCGACGAGGAAGUCCGGGGCACUGAGGCUCUGCUGCAGCUCCUCGCUCGCACUCGGUCCGUUGUUCUUCCUCUAAGUGAAUUAAAGCACGAUAUCCACCGCAUUCAGGGCGCCGCCGCUGCUGUUUCCAAGGUAACCACCAACUGGCAUCCCGGUGAACCUCAUCAUCACAAAGCAACAUAAACAUCCUUACAUGGUUUUUUUAUUUCCAAUUAAUGUUACCCGCCGCCGUUAAUCACACCGUUACCCCCCCCCCCGGGACCUCUGGGGGUCUGAGGAGUGGAUUCACCAUCACCAUUGCUUUAACGGGACACUUUUUAUAAUCAACUCCUGCAGCUCGCUAAUCAUUUUAAUGCUCUGUUUUGCUGCUUUAUUGUCUCGACAAUCAUUCCGAAGAUGCGUUCUUUUAUCUGUGGACCGAUCACGCGCCGGAGGAGCGUCCCUCCCCCCGAAGGCAGGAACACAAAGCGCACAAGAAUCUGAAGGUCUGAGCGCUGAGCUGCUACCCGACGCCACGUAGCGCUGCACAUCUCGCUCCUUCGCCCCUUCACUGUCUCACUCUUUACCCGGCGUCGCUCGGCGUGGCCGCGCUGACGCAGACGGAUUUGCGUGGCAGACAGUUGGAGGCCCGAGGACGGGAGGAGAUUGCUUCACGAGGCGUCCGGGCCGCGCUGGAUGUCUGGAGGGUGAUUUGCCAAAAAUCUGUCAAAGAAAAAGUUCUGCAGUGGUGAUUGAGCAAGUCUCGCCGUGAGCGUUGGCGUAAUUUACUGAGAAGACUAUUAUUUCAGUUCUAUGUACCUUUGCCUCAAAUAGCAAUGUUUUUUUCUGGAAAUGUCAUUCAGGAUUAAUUGGCGUUAAUGGAUUAAUAUUUGAUUUAAAAGUAGUAACCAUGCAAACAGUAUCGACAAAUAAGCUUCUUUCUGCAGCUUUAUUCCCUUUACACAGUAGCAGCUAAAACAUUUAUUCUGAACCUCAACUUAAAGAAAUCUUCUUUAAUCUAAACUACAUAACAUGUUUUAAUAUAAAACUAAAGCCAUUUGCAACUGCCAGAGGCUUAAUGUUGAAUCCGGUUUGUUAUAAAAAAACAAGUUGCAUCAUAACAGGCAGCUACCGUGUAGCAGCAAGUCCGCAUCUAUAAAUCAGUUCUUUUGUUUCCUGACAGAAGGAACACUUCUCAGCAUAAACGCUCCGCUCGGUAGCCGCGGUAUUUGUUCUAAAUGUUUGUUGGUGCAUUGAUGUUUUAUUGGUGUUUAUAAGAAGCGGUGCUCCGUAGUUAAACACCCGCUGUGUGCCAGGUACCACUGACUGUGUGCUAGUUAGCUUAGCAACAACUGCCAAGCCGUUUAUUGUCCGUUUGUCAUCAGACGUCGGGUAAUAAAGUGGCGCUGGCCUGGCGGCUAACUUAGGUGGCUCGUGAUUGGCCCGGGAGGGUGUGUGGGCGGGGCCUCGGUGCUGUGGCUCCCGGCGCACACGAUCACAAACUGUCAGACUCUCCACAUCUGCAGAAGUUCAGGAGGCUGCCAACGCAGUGACGUAAGCGUCACUUACCUUUUAUUUUAAUUAAUAUACUUAUUCUCCAUCAGAAACUCCCACGUUCCGUUAAAAAGAAGAUUGUCCAGGUAGACUCAUUGUUUACAUGUACGUGUGUGAGAUAAACUUCACUUCACAUCACCUCCCGCCACUGUACGUUUGAUUGACAUGUGAAUAGAGCUCAAAAACACCACGGAGAUUAUCUCCUAGCAACACGGAUGCAAACAAAACAAAACAGGAAUAACACUGUGUAGCUGUGGUGUCAUCAAUACGACUACAUGCGCGUGUAUUCGCACAUCACACAAUGCGCCAGGAGCCACGAUGAAAGCGCUUUAUUUUCGCUGGAAUUUGGAAACAUAUUAUUCAUUUUCACUGCAGCAUCUUUGGACGAAAAGCUUCAGACUGUUCUGAUCUCGGCUGGAAUCUCUAAAGUGAAACUGGUAGUCCGGUGCGGCACGCACUUUCCCACAAGUUCCCCAUAAAGUGGAGAAUGUGCCUAAUCCCGUGCAGAGUUAUGACAUAUGGUCGGUGGCUUAAGCGAUCUGGGGCCAUCUUAAGAUUGAGCUGGAAUGCUAUUCCCGAAGGGGAGAGCGAAGGUAAAUAAAGGAGACAGUGCUCGGCAGAUAUGGGAAAAUAUUGACACCACUGACCUCCGUGCUUAACUGAUUAAAGGCGGUAACAUCUCGCAGCUGUCUACUCAACAACUUUUAAAAAAGGGAAACCACAUAGGACCCCUAAAAGUGUGUUUCUUACGCCAAUGAUGCUCACAUGAUACACACACAACUGACAUCCUGUGUUUUGGUAGGAUGGACGGAAUAAAAGGGCAGAAGAGAGAAGAAGAAGGAUUUUAAAUGUAAAAACAAUAAAGCCGCUGUGAAGGAUUUAGUGUCAUUUAAUGAAAACUCUACAAAGCGCGAUGAAUAUCAGAGGCGGGGGAGUGAUUCUAAAAGAUACAUUUGUGAGAAACACUGAGCAAUCGUUGCUUCGUUUUCCGCGGUUGAAUCGUCCUCAUUUCGCUGUGUUCAGAUACGGUUGGUGAAAACAGCCGCGCUAAAGUUAAACUGCAACCAUGUGUCUACACGCAUAUGGGCAUAUGUGAUGCUUUUACUCGCUGCAAACUGUCAUUGGUGGGGAUUCAUUCAGACAGAAGUGGAUUCGAUUCGACGCAUUUGAGCCGCUGUCGCUUUGCAUCGAAGCUCGUCACGUGAAAAGCCUCACACGAUUCCCGGCUACGGCUCCUCGUGGCUUGGUUUCCGUCUGCAGACAGCAACUAGCGCACACGGCACCUGCAGGGCAGCUCUCUUCAGAUGGACCCGCCUGCCCUGUGAUCCAUAUCAUUCCCCCCAUAACGGGUUUUCAGACAGACUGAUGAAUGUGCCAAGCGCUCUCACCGAAAAAACAACCCCCCCCCCCCCCGGCUCAAUGGGCUGCUCGCUCGACCCUCGCAGCGCCACAUGAUUACUGAGCUCCUUUACCGAUCAAUACGGAUCAAUGCAGUGUGCUGCUCUUGGCUGGAGGAGAGGGAGGGGAGGACGAAGGACACUCACAGAGGAGCAACGUGGAUUAAAACACGUGGAAAUGAAAUAAGUGACAUAAUUACUUCACUGCACUCAGAGGAUCGUUGAGAAGUUUUGAUUAAGCUUCUUUCAUUCAGGAAUGUUUUGCAAGAAAUGUCUUGCUGCUGCAACAGGCUACCUUCACAUGAUGUGAUGCCCGUUUCUUCUUGGGGGGGGGUUUAGAGCUUGAAUGGUGCCGUUUGGUGUCUGCGUCACUAACCAUUAAGCACAAAGGGCCUCCGUGGCACUCGAGCAGAGCUUGACUCGGAGUUUCGUCACCUGAAUGAAGACACACGACAAACUGGCACUCAAACCGCCUGCAGCGUUGCCGCCUUCAACUCGCGGCAGACGAGGCGACACACAAAGGGCCGUCGGGGGACAUUCGGGGGUUUGCACAGUCUCGCCUCUGAAAGAGACGUCUCCGUUUGACAGCUCGUGACAGGUCUCGUCCCUCCCCCGGUCUACGCGCUCAGGUCUCACUCGCCUGCACACAGCGUUACACUCAGCGUAUGGAGCCAGGAGCGCGUGCACACGCGUGCACGCCUGCACACACACGCGCUCCAUCUCUCUCGCACACACACACACACACACACACACACGAACUAGCAAGGUGGGAGGAGUCAGCGGUAAAAGACUUGUAAUUUGUGUUUUGCCAACAAAGGCCGGCUAAUCCUGCAGGGGGGCUUUGUCGCAGCUGCUAUUGUGUGUUUGUGUGGUGUGUGUGUGUGUGUGUGCGAGUGGGGGAGAGGCAGAAAGAGAGAGGAGGUGUGAGAGGGGAGGGGGGGAGGGAUGGGUGAGGAAUGAAAAUGUGAGGGAGAGAGAAAAGUGAGUCUUCUUUUUAUUUAUUUCAAAUCUGUGUGAGAGUGUGCGUCGCUCUUUGUCCCAGCUGUGUGUGCACAUCUGCGGGGGGGGGGGGGGGGGGGGGGGGGGAGUGGGAGUGUGUAUUCGUCGCCUCCCCCUCCUGCGGUUUUCUGCAUGACAGAGCUCAUUUUAGGCCCCGCCUCCUUCUCUCCCCAUGGCCGCUGCUCCCCGGGCCGGGCUGAGACCUCUGCUCCUCCGGCGGCCCAUGGAGCCGAAGGGUCGCGG